RNAcentral lists this transfer RNA (71 nucleotides) under Parallela transversalis. RNAcentral's name for it is "tRNA-Gly". It matches the Rfam family "tRNA". Rfam says of the family: Transfer RNA (tRNA) molecules are approximately 80 nucleotides in length. Their secondary structure includes four short double-helical elements and three loops (D, anti-codon, and T loops). Further hydrogen bonds mediate the characteristic L-shaped molecular structure. tRNAs have two regions of fundamental functional importance: the anti-codon, which is responsible for specific mRNA codon recognition, and the 3' end, to which the tRNAs corresponding amino acid is attached (by aminoacyl-tRNA synthetases). tRNAs cope with the degeneracy of the genetic code in two manners: having more than one tRNA (with a specific anti-codon) for a particular amino acid; and 'wobble' base-pairing, i.e. permitting non-standard base-pairing at the 3rd anti-codon position. The record is from RNAcentral. Lineage: Eukaryota; Viridiplantae; Chlorophyta; Chlorophyceae; Sphaeropleales; Sphaeropleaceae.
GCGGGUGUAGUUCAGUGGUAGAACACUUCCUUGCCAAGGAAGUUGUCGCGCGUUCGAGUCGCGUCACCCGC